RNAcentral lists this ribosomal RNA (113 nucleotides) under Pteropus alecto (black flying fox). Lineage: Eukaryota; Metazoa; Chordata; Mammalia; Chiroptera; Pteropodidae. The record is from RNAcentral.
GUCUAUAGCCGUAUCACCCUGAACAAGCCUGAUGUCUGACCUUGGAAGCUAAGAUGGGUCGGGCCUGGUUAGUACUUGGAUGGGAGGCCACCUAAGAAGACCAGGCAUAAAUA